RNAcentral lists this ribosomal RNA (464 nucleotides) under uncultured bacterium. Its description in RNAcentral is "bacterial SSU rRNA". It matches the Rfam family "Archaeal small subunit ribosomal RNA", at positions 325 to 793 of the family's 1478-position model. The record is from RNAcentral.
ACGGGCCGCAGCAGGCGCGAAAACUUUACAAUGCAGGAAACUGUGAUAAGGGAACCCCGAGUGCCCGUAUACGCGGGCUGUCCAGGUGUGUAAAAAGCAUCUGAAGAAAGGGCCGGGCAAGACCGGUGCCAGCCGCCGCGGUAAUACCGGCGGCUCGAGUGGUGGCCACUAUUAUUGGGCUUAAAGCGUCCGUAGCUGGACUGAUAAGUCUCUUGGGAAAUCCGCCGGCUUAACCGGCGGGCGUCUAAGAGAUACUGUCAGUCUAGGGACCGGGAGAGGUGAGAGGUACUCCGGGGGUAGGAGUGAAAUCCUGUAAUCCCUGGGGGACCACCGAUGGCGAAGGCAUCUCACCAGAACGGCUCCGACAGUGAGGGACGAAAGCUGGGGGAGCGAACCGGAUUAGAUACCCGGGUAGUCCCAGCCGUAAACUAUGCGCGUUAGGUGUACCGGUGACCACGAGUCAC